CAUCAAAUGGCGACAUAGGUCGUUCCUGACUUCAGUUCUCCUCACAAGAAGACUAGCACUAUCCGUAGACAAGACAGCAUUGUGAUGAUUUUAGAACCUGGGAACGCGGCUGAAGCACCCUCCUGGACCACAGAUACUGAGGAGGACCACAAUAGAACUGUAAGAAGAGCGCCUACACUGACCGCACCUUCUGCCCUCGGGGCUGCACAAAAUCCACUGGAGACCUACGGUUUCUCCAGUGGGAAAAGAGACAAGGUGAACAUCGAGCUUCCCCAGUCUUGAGGGAUGCUUCCCAGGAGGGUCACUAGAGUCUCGCCUAAUGAGUAUCGCUGUGGGACUCUGUGGGGUUCUACCACCGGGAAUCAAAUGGAGACAGAGAAGGAGGCGGGGCUUACAACAGCCAGUACUCAGAACUCGGGGGACCGCGUGCCUGAUUGUAGUGGCGGCAGGCAGAGAUUCCAGCCAGUGGCUCUGCCCGUCCGCAGAGCCAAGUCAGUGACCCCAUCUGGCCAGGCUGCUCGGUUGGCAGUUCUGCCAGAUUUGGGUUCCCAUAAAAUGGGCUAUACUCGCCAGUGGAGCCUGGUCUACCACCCCGCCCAGGAAGGGAGGCAAAUUCGCAGCCCCGUCCAACUGUGGAGCAUAGGUUCCAGUGACGUCGAUUCCAGGAGCCUGGCCAGGGAACUAGGGCAGCCCUGGAGCCCAUUCUGCAGCCCCGCUUGGGCAGGGAGCCAAGCCAGCAGCCCUGCCCCAACUGUUGAGCAUAGUUUCUGGCCUCGCAUAACCAGGGAGCCUGAACAGUAACCCUGGGCAAACUCAGAGCCCAGCCCAGGGCACCACAGAGCUGGGGAGCCCAGCCUACAGCCCUGACCAGCAGCAGAGCAGCUUACCGCCUGCUGGAUUGCUGAAUAGUCUGAGGCCUCACCAGGCAGGGAGGCCAGCCAGUGACCUUGCCCAAUCGUGGAGCUUAGCCUGUGGCUAAACCCAAAAAAGGAGCCUGGACAGCGACCCCACGAGACCAUAGGGCACAGUCUCCAGCCCAACUUCCAGAUACAGCUGGAGGCUCCUCUGGACUGGUGAGCCAGGCCAGAGAACUUGCCCAGCAGCAGAGCACAGGCAGGGGUCUAUAGGACCUUGAACCCCCACCUACAGCUCAGUCCAACUCCUGGGUAUAGCCUGUAGCCCCACCUGAUUGCACAGCACAGCCUGAGGCCCUGCCUGUGGCCCCACAUGAAUCUGGAGUUCAGCCUGCAGCACCAUUUGGUCGGGGAACACAGCCUGAGAACCCACCCGGCCAGCAGUGAUUGUGGAGCCCAGCUCAUAGCCCUGCCCAAUCACGGAGUCCAACCAGUGGUACCCUCCUGCCAGGGAACACAGCCUGUGACCUGGUCCAACCAGAGGAAGAAGUCUACAUUGGUACGUACUGGAAGAUGAAGUGAGUUUGGAGAAGAAGCAUGUGGAUUCUCAGAAAAAUGUUUCUACUGAUCUUCAUACCCAAAUUUGAAGGUAAUCAUAGAGAAAUCUCUAGGAAGAAUAAAGUACCAUAAAACCCAAAGUCUCAGAUACAUCCUCUGAUAUCUCAAGCUUGAGUUCUAACCUCUGCAACAUGAGAAUUGAUGAGUGUCUUCGGAGUAAAGCCGAUGUUUACAUAAAAAUUCAUUUGGCUGAGGAUGCUUCACUUCCUUCAAAGGUCUAUGGAGAUGCUUUGUAAUAGGAGAAAAAUUUAAAAAUGAAGAGAAGACCAAAGAAUGAAAAAAACUUAUUCAACACCAUGUAUUUUUUUUUAAAGCUACUUUGAUUCUAGAUCUCUGUUUAUGCCAUGUGAAAAAGCCCAAGCUAUCCUGCUGUAUGCUAAAGACACAUUACCCUGACAACCCUGUUGUACAGCCUAUAGCCAAUAACUGCAAUGUGAUUGAGGCCUUCUUAGAGCACCAGUUCCCAGCCAACACACCAGCUGCCUGCAGAUGCAUGAAUGAACCCAGCCAAGAUCAGCUGAGUCUGGCUCAGUUGAGCAGAAGCACCUCACUGGCCAUAGACUUAUUCGCAAUAAUAAAUGCUCUUUGUUUUAAAUCGCUGAGUUUUGGAACAAUAGCUAAUGGGCAUACCCCAUUCAACAAAUAAUUAAUUUCCCUCAGUUUUUGUUAAUUAUUUAAUUAGUUUUUAUAUAUAGUGUUAAUAGUUUUCCCAUUAGGUGUUAGAAUGAACCCUUAAUUAUAAGAAUGCAAAAUACCUCCAUUUCUCCAAGAUUAUUUAUAUUCUGUUAGAAGAUAAACAAUGGAAAUGUUUACUAGUAUUUUGUAAUAUUUUAUGACUACUUCAAGUGUUUUGCAAACCCUUCUCUUUUAAAUUGAUUAUGAGGUGUAGUUUAUUAUCACGUAAUCAUCGUGCUAAGUAACUUGGCAUAUUUGAAUAUCUCAGAUUGUUUGAACUUUGUCUUUAUU
Molecule: long non-coding RNA, 2438 nt
Organism: Equus caballus (horse)
Lineage: Eukaryota; Metazoa; Chordata; Mammalia; Perissodactyla; Equidae
Source: Ensembl